Molecule: small RNA, 1447 nt
Filed under: uncultured bacterium
Lineage: Bacteria
Description: bacterial SSU rRNA
Rfam family: Bacterial small subunit ribosomal RNA (bases 1-489)
Source: RNAcentral
UUGGCUGUCGUCAGCUCGUGUCGUGAGAUGUUGGGUUAAGUCCCGCAACGAGCGCAACCCCUGUUCCUAGUUGCUACCGGGUAAUGCCGGGCACUCUAGGGAAACUGCCGGUGACAAGCCGGAGGAAGGCGGGGAUGACGUCAAGUCCUCAUGGCCCUUAUGGGCUGGGCUACACACGUGCUACAAUGGCGAUGACAAUGGGCAGCGACCUCGCGAGGGGAAGCAAAUCCGUGAAAAGUCGUCUCAGUUCGGAUUGUACUCUGCAACUCGAGUGCAUGAAGUCGGAAUCGCUAGUAAUCGUGGAUCAGCAUGCCACGGUGAAUACGUUCCCGGGCCUUGUACACACCGCCCGUCACACCAUGGGAGUUGGUUUUACCCGAAGCCGGUGCGCUAACCUUAGGGAAGCAGCCGACCACGGUGAGGUCAGCGACUGGGGUGAAGUCGUAACAAGGUAGCCGUAGGGGAACCUGCGGCUGGAUCACCUCCUUUCUAAGGAAAUCCUGGAAGCCUGAAUUCGUUUAGGCCUCUUGGUUUUACCCUUACAAACUAAAAGAAGACGCCAGUCCACCGGACUGAAGGUUUAGGCCUUUGGUUUGGUUAGGUUCGAGGCGCCGACCACGCAUCCCUUCCAUCGAGAUAUCAGCCGUUUGUCACCUGAAAAAGUCAGGUGCUUGGCGGCUAUGAGAGACACAAGAGAUAACGGGCCUAUAGGCGGUUUUUAAACCGUUGUUUAUGCCGCAGUAGCGUGAGUGUCAGGGUCUUGGCCCGAGUGCUUGGCUAUGUAGAGGCGAGGCGACGUGUUAUGGGCCUGUAGCUCAGUUGGUUAGAGCGCGCGCUUGAUAAGCGUGAGGUCGGAAGUUCAAGUCUUCCCAGGCCCACCACUCUUAUCGGGGCCGUAGCUCAGUUGGGAGAGCGCCUGCUUUGCAAGCAGGAGGUCGUCGGUUCGAUCCCGUCCGGCUCCACCAAAAACUUGCUGGAUCUGGCCGGUUCCUAGAACUGGCUUGGCGGCUCCGCAAUUGUCUUUUGUAGACUGAUCUCGAUGGAAAUAGGGAAGUUGGUUUUGCGCCGUGAUAAGGUUCAGGUCUUCGGGCUUUUAUCUUGUUGCGGGUUUUUUGACAGAGUGAAGAGGGUUUGUAAUCGCCGCGUGGCGUCUUGCCUCACUGAUGUGAGGAGGCAGGAAAGCGCGCGGCACGAGUUGCUGGCGCGUGUCUGUCCGGUGCUUUGGUUUACCUGUUAUCGACCAAAGCGGUAGCUCGUGUGGUGGUAGAAUACUGCUUGGGUAUUUGCCGUUGUGCGUGGUUAGGAUGGUCAUGCGUGUCAAGCGUCUUAAGGGCAUUUGGUGGAUGCCUUGGCGUCGAGAGGCGAUGAAGGACGUGGUACGCUGCGUUAAGCCGUGGGGAGCUGCGAACAAGCUUUGAUCCGCGGAUAUCCGAAUGGGGAAACCCGG